AGCGAACGCUGGCGGCAGGCUUAACACAUGCAAGUCGAGCGGGCGUAGCAAUACGUCAGCGGCAGACGGGUGAGUAACGCGUGGGAACAUACCUUUUGGUUCGGAACAACACAGGGAAACUUGUGCUAAUACCGGAUAAGCCCUUACGGGGAAAGAUUUAUCGCCGAAAGAUUGGCCCGCGUCUGAUUAGCUAGUUGGUGAGGUAACGGCUCACCAAGGCGACGAUCAGUAGCUGGCUGAGAGGAUGAUCAGCCACAUUGGGACUGAGACACGGCCCAAACUCCUACGGGAGGCAGCAGUGGGGAAUAUUGGACAAUGGGCGAAAGCCUGAUCCAGCCAUGCCGCGUGAGUGAUGAAGGCCCUAGGGUUGUAAAGCUCUUUUGUGCGGGAAGAUAAUGACGGUACGCAAGAAUAAGCCCCGCUAACUUCGUGCCAGCAGCCGCAGUAAC
Molecule: ribosomal RNA, 449 nt
Filed under: uncultured bacterium
Lineage: Bacteria
Description: bacterial SSU rRNA
Rfam family: Bacterial small subunit ribosomal RNA
Source: RNAcentral